Molecule: long non-coding RNA, 1240 nt
Organism: Columba livia (rock pigeon)
Lineage: Eukaryota; Metazoa; Chordata; Aves; Columbiformes; Columbidae
Exons: 3
Source: RefSeq, a predicted model, not a curated record
UGGCGAAGCAGCCCGGAGCCAGCGCUGUUUGUCCCGUCAGCUGGCCGGCAGCUUGGGAAAACAGCCGGGAAGGUGCUGGGAGGCACCUCGGGCACCAGCAGAGAUAACGCUGAAUUUGCAGAUGCCUUUGGGGAAUGGAAGAGACACAGCUGACAAAUCUGGAAGGCGAGGAGGAGGCAGCGAGAACCGGCAGCAGCUCCCAGGUUAUCACUUUGUUGAAACCAGCAGCCCCGCUCCGCGGUGCCCGGAGGAGCAUGCUCCCGCUUGCCCUUGUAAGCCGGUCCUCCCGUGUCCCAGCAGCAUCACGGCUGGGGGCACCCGGCCCGGGAGAAACAAGCCCAAGCGGCACAGCCCGGGGAGGACACUCACUGCACGUGUUUUUAAGCCAAAUGUGGCUCCUGGAAUCAACAGAGAGGGAGAUUCCUCUGCAGCCUGGGGAGCCAUCCUGUCCACGUUCUUCCCUGGGACCUUCAAAGGAGCGGAGGAAUCCAAUUCCCACUCAUUUGCUUUGAAAACACCAACCUAAAAUUGUAAUGAUGGCAUGCUGUAUUACAGGGGAGGAAAGAACCCACCAGACUAGCUACAUUGUUUUCCUAAGACCGGGGUGUUGAUGAUUUAAUAAGACUUACAUUUUUAACAAUAUUAUGUUGGUUAAUGUUGGAAGGUGUUCCUACAAUUAAUGAAAAUUUCAUAGACUGACUGGGGAAGAAAGAGCCCAUUUUAUGUCCCCUACCAGAUGGCCUGAGCCAGCUGCUCACUCUUUUUCUUUGAACUGUGAUUCUAAUGACUUCUCCGUCCUUUGAAGUCGGUCUCUGAGCUGCUGAACCAGAUGUAUUUGCAUGAUAGUAGCAGAGCAUGGUUAACAGUUGCCGACUUUUGCUAUUUUCCCUCAUGGCCACUGCUGGAUACUGCAAUGUUUGCUUUUAUUUGGGGUGAGGGCUUUCUAGGCGCUGGUAAAAUGCGUCUUGGUGUAACAUCGCUGGCUGCAGUGAGUUAUUCCCUAAAUCCACAGCGUCUUUACGCAGCUCUCAGCUGGUUUCAUUGCUCUAUAAACCCAGGCGGCAGUGUGAGUCUGCUUUCAGUCACAGAUUUAUUAGGGCCUCACAGAAGCGGGGGCUGCUGUCAGAAAUGUGAAUUUCAGCACCGAUUUAAAAACAGAGAACGAGAAGAAAGGAAGAGCUUUAAAUAUGUAUUAAGAAGUUUUAAAAAGAAUAAAUCACAAAAUAAAAUAAGUCUUUUU